GCCGCANGGUUAAAAUCAAAGNAUUGGANGGGGACCCGCACAAGCGGUGGANNANGUGNAUUAAUUGGAUGCAACNCGAACAACCUUACCUAACCNUNACAGUCCGGGAGCNUUUUGAGAGGCGGGUGUGCCUGAAAGGGAACCCGGAACACAGGUGCUGCAUGGCUGUCGUAAGCUCGUGUCGUGAAAAUGUUGGGUUAAGUCCCGCAAACGAGCGCAACCCUUGUCCCUAGUUGAUACGCAAGGGGCACUAUAGGGAGACUGCCGGUGACAAACCGGAGGAAGGUGGGGAUGACGUCAAGUCCUCAUGGCCCUUAUGGGUAGGGCUUCACACGUCAUACAAUGGCCGGUACAGAGGGUUGCCAACCCGCGAGGGGGAGCCAAUCCCAGAAAGCCGGUCGUAGUCCGGAUUGCAGUCUGCAACUCGACUGCAUGAAGUCGGAAUCGCUAGUAAUCGCGGAUCAGCAUGUCGCGGUGAAUACGUUCCCGGGUCUUGUACACACCGCCCGUCACACCAUGGGAGCGGGAUGUACCAGAAGCAGCUAGCCUAACCGCAAGGGGGGCGGUUGCCACGGUGCGUUUCGUGACUGGGGUGAAGUCGUAACAAGGUAGCCGU
RNAcentral lists this ribosomal RNA (616 nucleotides) under uncultured bacterium. RNAcentral's name for it is "bacterial SSU rRNA". It matches the Rfam family "Bacterial small subunit ribosomal RNA", at positions 885 to 1503 of the family's 1533-position model. The record is from RNAcentral.